This 301-nucleotide ribosomal RNA is filed under the name uncultured bacterium. Its description in RNAcentral is "partial 16S ribosomal RNA". It matches the Rfam family "Bacterial small subunit ribosomal RNA", at positions 509 to 809 of the family's 1533-position model. The record is from RNAcentral.
CAGCAGCCGCGGUAAUACGAAGGGUGCAAGCGUUACUCGGAAUUACUGGGCGUAAAGCGUGCGCAGGCGGUUAUAUAAGACAGAUGUGAAAUCCCCGGGCUCAACCUGGGAACUGCAUUUGUGACUGUAUAGCUAGAGUACGGCAGAGGGGGAUGGAAUUCCGCGUGUAGCAGUGAAAUGCGUAGAUAUGCGGAGGAACACCGAUGGCGAAGGCAAUCCCCUGGGCCUGUACUGACGCUCAUGCACGAAAGCGUGGGGAGCAAACAGGAUUAGAUACCCGAGUAGUCCCUGUCUCUUAUAA